AGCCAGACUCCUACGGGAGGCAGCAGUGGGGAAUAUUGCACAAUGGGGGAAACCCUGAUGCAGCGACGCCGCGUGAGUGAAGAAGUAUUUCGGUAUGUAAAGCUCUAUCAGCAGGGAAGAAAAUGACGGUACCUGAUUAAGAAGCCCCGGCUAACUACGUGCCAGCAGCCGCGGUAAUACGUAGGGGGCAAGCGUUAUCCGGAUUUACUGGGUGUAAAGGGAGCGUAGACGGUGAUGCAAGUCAGAAGUGAAAGCCCGGGGCUCAACUCCGGGACUGCUUUUGAAACUGUGUGACUGGAGUGCAGGAGAGGUAAGCGGAAUUCCUGGUGUAGCGGUGAAAUGCGUAGAUAUCAGGAGGAACACCAGUGGCGAAGGCGGCUUACUGGACUGUAACUGACGUUGAGGCUCGAAAGCGUGGGGAGCAAACAGGAUUAGAUACCCUAGUA
This 446-nucleotide ribosomal RNA is filed under the name uncultured bacterium. Its description in RNAcentral is "partial 16S ribosomal RNA". It matches the Rfam family "Bacterial small subunit ribosomal RNA", at positions 329 to 792 of the family's 1533-position model. The record is from RNAcentral.